Regulatory RNA element from Clostridiales bacterium KA00134, 94 nucleotides. It matches the Rfam family "SAM riboswitch aptamer (S box leader)". Rfam says of the family: The SAM riboswitch is found upstream of a number of genes which code for proteins involved in methionine or cysteine biosynthesis in Gram-positive bacteria. The SAM riboswitch acts at the level of transcription termination control. NCBI's taxonomy places the organism in Bacteria, Bacillati, Bacillota, Clostridia, Eubacteriales. The record is from Rfam.
UACCUAUUAAGAGCGGUGGAGUGAAUGGGCACUGUGAAACCCGGCAACCUGUAAGUGGUGCUAAAUCCCACAGAGUAAAUCUGGAAGAUGGGUU